CGGGAUCACUAUCAUUGUGA
RNAcentral lists this microRNA (20 nucleotides) under Ciona intestinalis (vase tunicate). RNAcentral describes it as "cin-miR-4045-3p". Lineage: Eukaryota; Metazoa; Chordata; Ascidiacea; Phlebobranchia; Cionidae. The record is from miRBase by way of RNAcentral.